Molecule: non-coding RNA, 271 nt
Filed under: Planctomycetota bacterium
Lineage: Bacteria; Pseudomonadati; Planctomycetota
Source: RNAcentral
GUAGUUGCAGUAGACAGUCCAGUGUUGCUGUUUGCAAGGGAAGUUGGUGUGCCCCGUUAGAAAUAUUCCUUAUCCUGACUUUGUCGGGAUAUUUUGUGAAAGAAGUUCAUAAUAGCACGAAUUUCUAACGGGGUGUGAAGCCAACGCUGCCCCGCAACUGUAAGGGGAACGAAAUUUGCACUAAUCCACUGUCUCGAUUUUUAUCGGGAUGGGAAGGAGCAAAUAGUAGGUUGCCCCAAGUCAGGAAACCUUGGACAGCAGGGUAUAUCUU